Molecule: long non-coding RNA, 760 nt
Filed under: Salmo salar (Atlantic salmon)
Lineage: Eukaryota; Metazoa; Chordata; Actinopteri; Salmoniformes; Salmonidae
Description: lncRNA (ENSSSAG00000085523.1, ENSSSAG00020071865.1)
Source: RNAcentral
AGGAGUCUCACUACUAUGAAAGUUCCUAACAUUAGAAGAUAAUUUUUUUCAUGUCAGUGUCGUAACAGUGUGUUUAUAUAACACAAAACAGAGAGUUUAUUCUGAAGUCAGCAAGGGAAUGAGGUUGUGUGUAUAAUACGUAUGUUUGCAUCUGUGUGUAUGUGUGUGUGGUAGUGUUUAACUAUUCUUGUGGGGACCAGAAGUCCCCACAAGAAUAGUAAACAAACAAAAAUUGUUCAGUUGGUCCAAGGUCAAAUGCUAUUUGUAUGGGGUUUAGGGUUAAGGUUAGAAUUAGUAUUAGGGUUAGAAUUAGGUUUACGGUUAGGGUAGGGUUAGGUUUAGGGGUUAGGGAAAAAUUUGAAUGGGACUGAAUUGUGUGUCCCCACAAGGGUACAUGUACGUGCGUGCAUGUGUGUGUGUUUGUGUGUGCGUGUGCGUGAGUGAGCAGGGCUCUGUGUAUAGAAGGUUUUAUGAGGCUCAUAAGGAUGAGUCAAUUUCACGGUGAGAUAUACUGUGCUUAUAUAAACAGGAUGAACAAGAGACCCUCUCUCUCUCUUUCUCUCGCUCUCUCUGUGUCUAUCACUCUCUCUCUCGCGCUCACGCAUGCCCACAUUGUCAUUGAAGCUAAAUCAUGCUGGGAAACGGAGUUAAAGCUGUAAUUGACACAUGAGGGAGAGGUGAUAAGGGAGAGAAGGGCAGGGGGAAGGAGUAUUGUAGGUUGGGAGGAGGGAGAGAAGAACAGGAGUAGGGUAGGUUGGAG